UUCUGCUUGCACAGUACAUAGCCAAUGAGGUUUAUCUGAGGCGUGAUUAUUGCUAACUGAGUAUUUUCCCAAUGCUCUGCCGUGAUGAUUUGAAAUAUAGUCAGUAUUGACAAUUUUUGAAAAUCUCUAUGGAGG
Small nuclear RNA from Nycticebus coucang (slow loris), 135 nucleotides. RefSeq annotates it as U4 spliceosomal RNA. The record is from RefSeq and is a predicted model, not a curated record. Lineage: Eukaryota; Metazoa; Chordata; Mammalia; Primates; Lorisidae. The transcript has a single exon.